Molecule: ribosomal RNA, 520 nt
Filed under: Pluralibacter gergoviae
Lineage: Bacteria; Pseudomonadati; Pseudomonadota; Gammaproteobacteria; Enterobacterales; Enterobacteriaceae
Description: partial 23S ribosomal RNA
Rfam family: Bacterial large subunit ribosomal RNA
Source: RNAcentral
CGAGUCUUAACUGGGCGUUAAGUUGCAGGGUAUAGACCCGAAACCCGGUGAUCUAGCCAUGGGCAGGUUGAAGGUUGGGUAACACUAACUGGAGGACCGAACCGACUAAUGUUGAAAAAUUAGCGGAUGACCUGUGGCUGGGGGUGAAAGGCCAAUCAAACCGGGAGAUAGCUGGUUCUCCCCGAAAGCUAUUUAGGUAGCGCCUCGUGAACUCAUCUUCGGGGGUAGAGCACUGUUUCGGCUAGGGGGUCAUCCCGACUUACCAACCCGAUGCAAACUGCGAAUACCGAAGAAUGUUAUCACGGGAGACACACGGCGGGUGCUAACGUCCGUCGUGAAGAGGGAAACAACCCAGACCGCCAGCUAAGGUCCCAAAGUCAUGGUUAAGUGGGAAACGAUGUGGGAAGGCCCAGACAGCCAGGAUGUUGGCUUAGAAGCAGCCAUCAUUUAAAGAAAGCGUAAUAGCUCACUGGUCGAGUCGGCCUGCGCGGAAGAUGUAACGGGGCUAAACCAUGCACCG